GAUGAACGCUGGCGGCGUGCCUAAUACAUGCAAGUCGAGCGAACGGACGAGAAGCUUGCUUCUCUGAUGUUAGCGGCGGACGGGUGAGUAACACGUGGAUAACCUACCUAUAAGACUGGGAUAACUUCGGGAAACCGUAGCUAAUACCGGAUAAUAUUUUGAACCGCAUGGUUCAAAAGUGAAAGACGGUCUUGCUGUCACUUAUAGAUGGAUCCGCGCUGCAUUAGCUAGUUGGUAAGGUAACGGCUUACCAAGGCAACGAUGCAUAGCCGACCUGAGAGGGUGAUCGGCCACACUGGAACUGAGACACGGUCCAGACUCCUACGGGAGGCAGCAGUAGGGAAUCUUCCGCAAUGGGCGAAAGCCUGACGGAGCAACGCCGCGUGAGUGAUGAAGGUCUUCGGAUCGUAAAACUCUAUUAUUAGGGAAGAACAUAUGUGUAAGUAACUGUGCACAUCUUGACGGUACCUAAUCAGAGAGCCACGGCUAACUACGUG
This 497-nucleotide ribosomal RNA is filed under the name uncultured bacterium. Its description in RNAcentral is "partial 16S ribosomal RNA". It matches the Rfam family "Bacterial small subunit ribosomal RNA", at positions 28 to 507 of the family's 1533-position model. The record is from RNAcentral.